GACGAACGCUGGCGGCGUGCUUAACACAUGCAAGUCGAACGAUGAAGCCUAGCUUGCUAGGUGGAUUAGUGGCGAACGGGUGAGUAAUACGUGAGUAACCUACCUUUAACUCUGGGAUAAGCCUGGGAAACUGGGUCUAAUACCGGAUACGACCAAUCUCCGCAUGGGGUGUUGGUGGAAAGCGUUAUGCAGUGGUUAUAGAUGGGCUCACGGCCUAUCAGCUUGUUGGUGAGGUAACGGCUCACCAAGGCGACGACGGGUAGCCGGCCUGAGAGGGUGACCGGCCACACUGGGACUGAGACACGGCCCAGACUCCUACGGGAGGCAGCAGUGGGGAAUAUUGCACAAUGGGCGCAAGCCUGAUGCAGCGACGCCGCGUGAGGGAUGACGGCCUUCGGGUUGUAAACCUCUGUUAGCAGGGAAGAAGAGAGAUUGACGGUACCUGCAGAGAAAGCGCCGGCUAACUACGUGCCAGCAGCCGCGGUAAUACGUAGGGCGCGAGCGUUGUCCGGAAUUAUUGGGCGUAAAGAGCUUGUAGGGCGGUUUGUCGCGUCUGCUGUGAAAGGCCGGAGCUUAACUCCGUGUAUUGCAGUGGGUACGGGCAGACUAGAGUGCAGUAGGGGAGACUGGAAUUCCUGGUGUAGCGGUGGAAUGCGCAGAUAUCAGGAGGAACACCGAUGGCGAAGGCAGGUCUCUGGGCUGUAACUGACGCUGAGAAGCGAAAGCAUGGGGAGCGAACAGGAUUAGAUACCCUGGUAGUCCAUGCCGUAAACGUUGGGCACUAGGUGUGGGGAACAUUCCACGUUUUCCGCGCCGUAGCUAACGCAUUAAGUGCCCCGCCUGGGGAGUACGGCCGCAAGGCUAAAACUCAAAGAAAUUGACGGGGGCCCGCACAAGCGGCGGAGCAUGCGGAUUAAUUCGAUGCAACGCGAAGAACCUUACCAAGGCUUGACAUAUACUGGACCGCAUCAGAGAUGGUGUUUCCCUUCGGGGCUGGUAUACAGGUGGUGCAUGGUUGUCGUCAGCUCGUGUCGUGAGAUGUUGGGUUAAGUCCCGCAACGAGCGCAACCCUCGUUCUAUGUUGCCAGCACGUUAUGGUGGGGACUCAUAGGAGACUGCCGGGGUCAACUCGGAGGAAGGUGGGGAUGACGUCAAAUCAUCAUGCCCCUUAUGUCUUGGGCUUCACGCAUGCUACAAUGGCCGGUACAGAGGGUUGCGAUACUGUGAGGUGGAGCUAAUCCCUAAAAGCCGGUCUCAGUUCGGAUUGGGGUCUGCAACUCGACCCCAUGAAGUCGGAGUCGCUAGUAAUCGCAGAUCAGCAACGCUGCGGUGAAUACGUUCCCGGGCCU
RNAcentral lists this ribosomal RNA (1349 nucleotides) under uncultured bacterium. RNAcentral describes it as "bacterial SSU rRNA". It matches the Rfam family "Bacterial small subunit ribosomal RNA", at positions 28 to 1381 of the family's 1533-position model. The record is from RNAcentral.